RNAcentral lists this long non-coding RNA (5198 nucleotides) under Homo sapiens (human). Its description in RNAcentral is "ADAPT28". The record is from RNAcentral. Lineage: Eukaryota; Metazoa; Chordata; Mammalia; Primates; Hominidae.
AACACCUUAGAUGUGGUGAAUAGGGAGAGAAAGAGACCACUGGUGGCUGAGAAUGAGCCUAGUACUAACAGAGUGGUGUUGCCUGAAGACAGAGAUAGGAAAGUCGCCGUUUUAUAGGAUUUGGGUAGGUAAAGGAAAAUUACAGUCGAAGGGGGUUUGUUCUCUGGUGGGCAGGAGUGGGGGUCGCAAGAUGCUCAGUGGGGGUGCUUUUUGAGCCAGGAUGAGCCAGGAAAAGGACUUUUACAAGGUAAUGUCAUCAGUUAAGGCAAGGACCGGCCAUUUACACUUCUUUUGUGGUGGAAUGUCAUCAGUUAAGGUGGGGCAGGGCAUAUUCACUUCUUUUGUGAUUCUUCAGUUACUUCAAGCCAUCUGGGCUUAUAUGUGCAAGUCACAGGGGAUGCGAUGGCUUGGCUUGGGCUCAGAGGCCUGACAUUCCUGCCUUCUUAUAUUAAUAAGAAAAAUAAAACAAAAUAGUGUUGAAGUGUUGGGGCGGCGAAAACUUUUGGGGGGUGGUAUGGAGAGAGAAUGGGCGAUGUUUCUCAGGGCUGCUUCAAGCGGGAUUAGGGGCAGCGUGGGAACCUAGAGUGGGAGAGAUUAAGCUGAAGGGAGGUCUUGUGGUAAGGGGUGAUAUUGUGGGGAUGUUAGAAGAAACAUUUGUCUUAUAGAAUGAUUGGUGAUGGCCUGGAUACAGUUUUGUAUGAAUUGAAAAACUAAAUGGAAUAACAGAAGGAGAAAAACAGGUAUAAAAGGUCUAAGAAUUGGGACGACUCAGGAUAUCUGAUUGAUGGCUUGGAAAAACAGUGUAAACUGGCAGUGUAAACAAGAGCAGGGCAUGUUUGAGUAGUUGAGAACGGUGAAUAGGAGUAUGACUAGACAGAAAAUAGUAGGGAUGACAAGUUUUUUUUUUUUUUUUUUUUUUUUUUUUUUGAGGCACAGUCUAAGUUGGUCUUGUGUCUGGAAUGAGACUGGGGCCUAAUAAAAAAGAGCGUCUAUACAGGAGCUUAAAUCGGCCGUACCCUGUAGCAUUCCGAGAACAGGCCUGAAUUCUGAGAAGGGAAAGUGGUAAAAGUAUUGUCCAGUCCUUUUUCAGUUGGUGGCUGAGCUUGGUGAGGUGUGUUUUUAAAAGACCUUUAGUCUAUUCUACUUUUCUUGAAGGCGGAGGACCAUAAGGGAUAUAAAGGUUUCACUGAAUACUAAGAGUCUGAAAAACUGCUGGCUGAUUUGACUAAUAAAGGCUCGUCUGUUAUCAGACUGUAUUGAGGUGGGAAGGCUAAACUGAGGAAUUAUGUCUGACAGAAGGGAAGAAAUGACUGCGGUGGCCUUCUCAGACCCUGUAGGAAAGGCCUUUACUUAUUCAGUGAAAGUGUCUAUUUAGACUAAGAGGUAUUUUAGUUUCCUGACUCGGGCAUGUUGAGUAAAGCUAAUUUGCCAGUCCUGGGUGGGGCAAAUCCUCGAGCUUGAUGUGUAGGGAAGGGAGGGGGCCUGAAUAAUCCCUGGAGUAGUAGAAUAGCAGAUGGAACACUGAGAAGUUAUUUCCUUGAGGAUAGAUUUCCAUGAUGGAAAGGAAAUGAGAGGUUCUAAGAGGCAGGCUAGUGGCUUGUACUAUAGCAUAACCUGCCUUUGCCGGUGUGUGGCGAUUAGGCCUGGUGGAACCGCCAUCAAUAAAUCAAGCGUGAUCAGGGUGAGGAACAGGAAAGAAGGAAAUUUGGGGAAAUGGGGUGAAUGUCAGGUGGAUCCGAGAGAUACAGUCAUGAGGGUCAGGUGUGGUAUCAGGUAUAAUGUGGGAGGCCGGAUUGAAGUCCGGGCCAGGAACAAUGGUAAUUGUGGGAGACUCAACAAAGAGUGAGUAUAGCUGAAGGAGCGGGGAAGCAGAAAGUACAUGCGUCAGGUAUGAGGAAGAAAACAGAUUUUGGAAGUUAUGAGAACUGUAGAGAGUGAGUUGAGCAUAGUUUGUGAUUUUGAGGGCCUCUAAAAGUAUUAAAGCAGCGGCAGCCGCCGCACACAGACAUGAGGGCUAGGCUAAAACAGUAAGGUCAAGUUGUUUGCAGAGAAAGGCUACAGGGUGCGGUCCUGGCUCUUGUGUAAGAAUUCUGACCGCACUAACUAUGCCUAGGAAGGAAAGCAGUUGUUGUUUUGUAAGGGAUUGAGGUUUGGGAGAUUAAUUGGACACGAUCAGCAGGGAAAGCACGUAUGUUUUUAUGAGAAUUAUGCCGAGAUAGGUAACAGAUGAGGAUGAAAUUUGGGCUUGACUGAAGUAAUGGGGGCUGUCUAUGAAGCCUUGCGGCAGUACAGCCUUGGUAAUUUGCUGAGCCUAAUGGGUGUCAGGGUCAGUCUAAGUGAAAGCAAGGAGAGGCUGGGAUGAGGGAUGCAGGGGAAUAGUGAAAAAAGCAUCUUUAAGAUCAAGCACGGAAUAGUGAGUUGUGAAGGAAGGUAUUGAGGACAAAAGAGUGUAUGGGUUGGGCACCACAGGGUGGAUAGGCAAAACAAUUUGGUUGAUAAGGCGUAGACCCUGAACUAACUUGUAAGGCUUGUCUGGUUUUAGGACAGGUAAAAUGGGGGAAUUGUAAGGAGAGUUUAUAGGGUUUAAAAGGCCAUGCUGUAGCAGGCGAGUGAUAACAGGCUUUAAUCUUUUUAAAGCGUGCUGCGGGAUGGGAUAUUGGCGUUGAGUGGGGUAAGGGUGAUUAGGUUUUAAUGAGAUCCAGGAAUAGUCAGGGAAGCAGAUUAUUUAGUUAAAGUGUCUCAGCCUAAUAAGGGAACUGGGCAGGUGGGGAUAACUAGAUUAAGAAGGGGACGGGCUCACCUUCCACUGUGAGAGUUACCUGAAGCUCGGUGUCCGUGAUGGUCUAGGGGGCUUCCGAGGCGAUCGGGCAGUGUCAGUCUUCAGCCGCUAAGCCGAGAAGAUCUGGGAAGGAGUCAGAGAGCGUUCCCGGGGCUCUGGGAGUGGCUGCCAGGUGAGUUGAACAGUCUGAUUUUCCGUGGGGUCCCACACAGAUGGGAUGCAGCUUAGGAGGAAUCCCAGGCUGCGGGCAUUCCUUGGCCCAGUGGCCAGAUUUCCGGCAUGUGUAGCAAGCUCCUGGGGGAGGAGGUUCUGGAGGAACGCCUGGCCACUGCAGUUCAGGUGUUUGGAAGUUCUUGUGUGCUGGAGAUGUGGCUGGGGUUUGUCUCACAGUGGAGGCAAGGAAUUGCAACUUUUUUUCUGUUAUUGUACACCUUGUAGGUGAGGUUAAUUAAGUCCUGUUGUGUGGUUUGAGGGCCAGAUUCCAAUUUUUGGAGUUUUAUUUAAUGUUGGGAGCAGAUUGGGUAAUAUAAUGUAUAUUGAGAAUAAGACGGCCUUUUGACCUUUUAGGGUCUAGGGCUGUAAAGCGUUUCAGGGUUGCUGCCAAAAGAGCCAUGAACUGGGCUGGGUUUUUAUGUUUGAUGAGAAAGAGCCUAAAUGCUUCUGAUUUGGGAUAAAGAAAAAGGAGCAUUAACCUUGACUAUGCCUUUGGCUCCAGCCACCUUUUUAAGAGUAAAUUGCUGGGCAGGUGGGGGAGGGCUAGUCACGGAACGAAACUGUAAGCUAGACCAGGUGUGAGGAGGGGAGGCGAUAAAAAGAUUAUAGGGUGGAGAAGCGGAGGCUGAGGAAGAAUUGGGACCUAGCUCGGCCUGGCGAGGAGCAGCCUGGGGAGGAAGGGAGAGGUCAGAUGGGUCUGUAGAAAAGGAAGAUUAGAAAGACUCAGCGACACUUGGGGUUGGUACUGAGGGGACAGGCGGGAGGGAAAGAAGGAAGAUUUGGGACGAGUUGCACUGGGCACAGAGACUAGGAAGGGACUGAUGUGUAAAAGAAUGCCUGGACGUCAGGCACCUCAGACCGUUUGCCUAUUUUAUGACAAGAAUUAUUUAGAUUUCGCAGGAUGGAAAAAUUCAAAGUGCCAUUUUCUGGCUAUUUGGAACUACUGUCGAGUUUGUAUUGGGGUCAAGAGGCAUUGCAGAAGAAAAUAAGGCAUUUAGGUUUUAGGUCAGGUGUGAGUUGAAGAGGUUUUAAGUUUUUGAGAACACAGGCCAAGGGAGUAGAAGGAGGAAUGGAGGGUGGAAGUUUGCCCAUAGUGAAGGAAGCAAGCCUAGAGAAAAGAGAGAGUAGAGAAACGGAGGGAAGGCGUUCGGGGGUUCUUACCUUCCAGAAAAGUGGGAAAAGGGGUUGGGGCGCAGAGAUAAGAGGUCAGGGCAUGGAAAUAAGGGAUUGGGGUGCAGAGAUAUAAGAGGUUGGGGCAUGGAAAUAAGGGAUUGGGACACAGAGAUAUGAGGUAGGGGCACGGAAAUAAGGGAUUGGGGCACAGAGAUAAGAGGUAGGGGCACAGAAAUAAGGGAUUGGGGCACAGAGAUAAGAGGUUGGGGUGCGGAAAUAAGGGAUGGGGGCACAGAGGUAAGAGGUCGAGGUGUGGAAAUAGGGGAUUGGGGUGCAGAGAUAAGAGGUUGGGGCACAGAAAUAAGGGAUUGGGGCACAGAGAUAAGAGGUUGGGGCACAGAAAUAAGGGAUUGGGGCACAGAGAUAAGAGGUUGGGGCAUGGAAAUAAGAGAUUGGGGCACAGAGAUAAGAGGUUGGGGCGUGAAAAUAAGGGAUUGGGGGUUCUUGCCCCGUAGAAAAGCGGGACUUGCCGCUAAGGGUGAAGGAGAAGGGGUUGAGGGGUACUUGCCCCUCUCCCAGAAAAGCAGAGAAGGGGUAGAGACAAGGAGAGAAGGGGUUGAGGUACUUGCCCUUUUGGGUGUUUAAUCAGAGAGGCGUCCCUGCAAUGAUUAAACACCAAGGGAAGGCUGCCUUCCCAGUCCGUGACUGGCGCCGGAGUUUUGGGUCCAUGGAUAAAACGUGUCUCCUUUGUCUCUCCCAGAAAAUGAAAGGAAUUGAAAUUAAGAGAAGGGAGAGGUUGAAGAGUGGAAAGGAGAAAGUGGUUGAGGGACAGUGAGAGAGGUUGGAGAAGAGAGUAAGAAGAGGCCGCUUACCUGAUUUAAAAUUGGUAAGAUGUUCCUUGGGCUGGUCGGUCUGAGGACCUAAGGUCAUAGGUGGAUCUUUCUCACGGAGCAAAGAACAGGAGUACAGGGGAUUGAUCUCCCAAGGGAGGUCCCCCGAUCCGAGUCACAGCACCAAAUUUCAUGCGCGUCCGUGUGAAGAGACCACCAAACAGGUUUUGUGUGAGCAACAUGGCUGUUUAUUUCACCUGGGU